GUUGUUUUUCUGCUAAUGCAGCACUGUCCUCACAACCCCCUCCUGUAAGUUUUAGAGAAUAUAUACCCAUCCUCACAGCAAAUAUUUGGAAUCUCUUGAUGUGAGCUGCGUUGAGAGUUUGUCUCUGUCUCAAUAAAAGUUCACUGAUUCCCCAUCUGCUGCAGGUGUCCGGUUGUCUUCAUUCUCCGCCAGCCUGGAUCCGCUCCAGGGCAACUGGAACGGAGGGAGGAAAUCGGCCGUGGUCUGAGUGAACGGAGUUUGGACAAAAGCUGUGUACACACAAAAAACAAGGUUGUUGCUCUUUAACUCCUAGAACACGCCCUUGGCGAGGUGGGGGGAACUGGACCACCUUUCUGUGCCCCAUCAUCCUCUAUUAGACGACAUCCAAGCUAAGUAAACAUGUCUUGGCCCUUUCCCCCUGAAAUGACAGGCAGGCAAAGAUGUUGCGUCUUUGUUUGCUUCCUGGCCCUGGGUCUCAUUCCCAUUGGCAUAAUCCUGAUCUGUGAAGGGCCCCCGACACUUAUGACACCUUCAAGUUCAAAAGCUUCGCCCCCUUCUGACAGUCCCAAUCUGACAAAUGUAGCCCCUAGGGUCUUGCCCACCACUUCCUCUCCAGUUUUGCCCACGCCCGAUCCAUUUAGAAAGAAACGAGACACGGUUACCUCCUCGCCAACGGAUGAUGAAAACUCUGAUCGUGAGGGUGACGAACAUUAUCGUCUUUCUCUUGUUUAAAUUCUUCUAGAAUGGUUGUUUCUCUGUGGUGUUUUGUAUUAGGCUUGUUAUUAAUUGUUUCCCUCACCCACUUCCUCUUGAAGGAUAUAUCUGGUUGAACUGUGUCUGGUCGGGUUGUGAGGGUUAAGCGAUGUUCUCAGGGUCUCCGGACUUAAGCCUGAGCGAAUGUGUACUCCCACCAAUGGAUAUGAAUUGUUUUUUUUUUUCCACACCCCUUCCUCACGUUUUACCAUAUUCACUUUUGAAUGUCCUUAGCAGUUACCGUUCUGGGUUUAUUUUACGGUUGAUUUAUUCUUUCACAUUUUCACGUUUAUAUCUCUCAUUAUUAUAGUAGACUCUGUACUCUCCACAUUUUUAUCAUUACUUAUGCUUUUUGGUUGCUGAGUUACAGGAACUGUUAAUUUUGUGUCACUACCCUGGUUGCACUAACUCGUUGUAUCCGUGUGUGCAGGACAGCUGUUACUGCUUUCAUCGGGAACCGAGACUGCUUGCAGCCGACCCCUGGGCAGGGUGGUGCCUGGACUCUUUUCUCCUCAUCUGCAAUGACAGAUAAAGACAAAUGAAAAGACCCGAGGAGUUUUUCGAGCCAGG
Molecule: long non-coding RNA, 1323 nt
Organism: Astatotilapia calliptera (eastern happy)
Lineage: Eukaryota; Metazoa; Chordata; Actinopteri; Cichliformes; Cichlidae
Source: Ensembl